Clupea harengus (Atlantic herring) is the source of this 2759-nucleotide long non-coding RNA. The record is from Ensembl. Lineage: Eukaryota; Metazoa; Chordata; Actinopteri; Clupeiformes; Clupeidae.
CAGCCCAUUUGAGGCAAUGAUUGACACCAUUGCACUUUUAUUUUCUCUAUUUCUGAACUGACGUUAUUUGUUAUUGAUUUUCUCUAUCUUUGAACUGAUGUUAUUUGUUAUUGAUUAAGAUUACGAACGUAUCGUUAUUUCAUUAAAUUUGACAGUUUUAAGCUUGGCCAACCAUUUUAUUGGAUCGAUGUGGGAGAGGUGGGGCUUGAAAAGGCCCCCUUGUUCAAAGUGGGGAAUGACAGAAAAAGUUUGAGAACCACUGCCCUAGAGGAAGCUCUCUCUCUCUCACACACACACACGUCAACAGAAAGAAUAAGAGACGAGUUUUCACCAAGCAUAUUUCUAUACAGCAAAUUUUCACCUGACCAAAGUUGAUUUCAAAUGUGAUUUAUUUAAAAAAAAAAUAAAAAAAACAUUUUUCAGAAGUACUUUUUAACAAGCACGUGUCCUUCGUACAAUGCAAAAUAACAUUCCAACAUUCCACUUAGCAUGAGGUGGACACAAGUCAGAGCAACUGCAGUAUGACUGUGACCUGAUUUACACUUCUCUUUCUAAUAUUACAGUAUCAAUCUGCAGUUACUCUCAAUAUCGCCCCAAGUGCUCCAACACAGAGGUGUAUGAAAAACAAAACUGUUUACAGCUCCAUUGCUUGAUUGAACGACGAUAGAUAGAUAGAUAAAAGGCAGAAAAGGAAUGAAACAACCAGAGAGGCACACAGGUGUUCUUCUCUAGACACAGACACACACACACUGGUGUUCUUCCCCAGAUAGACGCACACAUACAUACAUACACACACACACACACACACACACACACACACACACACACACACACACUGGUGUUCUUCUCCAGACAGACAGACACACACACAGACACAUUGGUCGUCUUCCCCAGAUAGACACACACAUAUAUACACACACACACACACACACACACACACACACACACACACUGGUGUUCUUCUCCUGAUAGACGCACAUGCACACACACACACACUGGUGUUCUUCUCCAGACAGACAGACACACACACACACACACACACACUGGUGUUCUUCCACAGAUAGACGCACACACACACACACACACACACACACUGGUGUUCUUCCCCAGAUAGACGCACACACACACACACACACACACACACACACACACACACACGCAUACGGGCAGAGAAUAUGAAAGGUGACAGCAGCAUUUCUUUUAAAUAUGUGAGUAUGAAAAAAACAUAAGAAUAUCUGAAAAUACUUUUUGCAAAUGUCAGGACAGGAGAAGUGGAGACAAGUGAGAGGACAGGACAGGAGGAGGGGAGGGGAGUGAGAGGACAGGAGGAGGGGAGUGAGAGUGAGAGGACGGGAGGAGUGGAGACGAGUGAGAGGACAGGACAGGAGGAGGGGAGGGGAGUGAGAGGACAGGACAGGAGGAGGGGAGGGGAGUGAGAGGACAGGACAGGACAGGACAGGAGGAGUGGAGACGAGUGAGAGGACGGGAGGAGUGGAGACGAGUGAGAGGACAGGAGGAGUGGAGGGGGGGGGGGGGGGGGUGUCUCCAUCAUGUGACACUUUAAAGAAUGACGCUUGUUGGCAGAGAAGGGUUUCAGCAUGACGUGUGGGGGACCGCAGGCAGAAAAAGCACUUGGUUACUCAACAGCAUCUGCUUUUUCCUUUUCUGCCACCCCUAAUGCGCAACACCCUGCUAUUCAACACACACACGCACGCAGACAGACAGACAGACAGACAGACAGACAGACAAAUGCAUAUUUGUGUGUAUGAGUGGGUGGGUAAGCGCACAUGUGUGUGAUGUGUGCGUGCGAGUGUGUGUGUGUGAAUUUUUAUGCUCUUACCCCAUGGUGAUGACAUGGUGUCAUCCCUUUCCUCUAUAGGAAAUGUAUUUCAUACUCUAGACUGUUAUGCAAUCGCUCUCUCUCUCACACACACACACACACACACACACACACACACACACACACACACACACCCACAAACACACACAACCCAGCCACAGUCUCAGCACGAGAACACACUCUGACACAGCACAGGGCAUGAAGUUACAUUCAUCCUAAUGCUCCGCUAGUGAACACACAUGGGGCCAACUCCUAUACAUACAAGAAACACUGGCAGUGGAAUAGUCAGCAGUCAAAGAGAGAGAGUGUGUGUGUGCGUGUGUGUGUGUGUGUGUGUGUGUGUGUGCGUGUUUGUGAGUGUGUGUGUGUAUGUGUGUGUUUGUGUGUGUGUGUGUGUUUGUGAGUGUGUGUGUGUGUGUGUGUGUGUGUGUGUGUGUGUGUGUGUGAGUGUUUGUGUGUGUGUUUGUGUGUGUGUGUGUGUGUGUGUUUGUGAGUGUGUGUGUGUGUGUGUGUGUGUUUGUUUUUGUGAGUGUGUGUGUGUGAGGGGAUCAGAUGACGGAGAUAAUAGAGGUCCAGAGAAUCCAAAAUGCUAUGUGUGUUUAAGCUGCAGUCCAGCCAGGGAACACACACACACACACACACAGUUUGGAUCCACAGUCUGAAUGCAAGCCAGCCAGCUACACGCUGACUUGAAAUCGAUGACAGCUGUUUGUGAUAAUGAGUACAAUGUGCAUGUACAACCCAAUGAGUGUGUGUGUGUGUGUGUGUGUGUGUGUGUGUGUGUGUGUGUGUGUGUGUACAGUCCGAUGAGUGUGUGUGAAGUCAAGGUUCCUCUAUCCCAGGUCAGGGGCGGUUCCACUGAUGGCUCGGAACACGUGCAUGGAGUUCUGCAGCAGAGAACGCAUCACAUCCUCCUGGA